CCCUCCUUCCCUUUAUCCAGAAAGGACAAGACUCUCUUCAUGGUGCUAUUCCGUCCUCGUAUGUGGUGGACUUUUGUCUUCCUCUGCGUCCUUGUUAAGCUUGUGGACUAAUGUCAGAGGGAGCCCUCCCCACCCCAAAACCAUGGAACAAUCUGAACGACUCUUUCUCUAUUUCUCUGAAAAAAUCUACCAACCAAAGACACCUAAUCUUUCUAACGAUAUCAGCCUACACUGUAAAGGACACUUUGGGUACUUCAGGUUGAAAGAUUAAAAGUCACAUUAUUUUGGGGGGAAUAUGGCCUACAGUAAGUGCCACGAGAGACAUAUAAACAAAAUGAUUUUGCAACGGAAAGAAAGAAAUAAUCAAUUCCAACUGGGGAAGGAAAUUAUAUUGACAGUAACGAUAAUAGUGGCAGCUAUUUAUUCUUUUCUCUAGUGAUGGCCCAAAUGUACACCAGUGCUUAAUCUUGAGAUAUAAAGGCUCUGUUUCAAAGGGGGAGAGUUAUAGAUGACAGCUGGGUGCCGAUGUCACUGUUAAUUAAAUAACAGACUUUCCGUAAGAUUAGCCCUGAGCUAACAUCUGCUGCCAAUCCUCUUCUUUUUGCUGAGGAAGACUGGCCGUGAGCUCACAUCUGUGCCCAUCUUCCUCUCCUGAAUAUGUGGGACGCCUAACACAGCAUGGCUUGCCAAGUGGUGCCAUGUCUGCACCUGGGAUCCGAACCGGAGAACCCUGGGCUGCCGAGAAGCAAAACGUGUGAACUUAACCACUGCGCUACCAGACCAGCCCCUGUCUAUCGUCUUUCAAAGUGAUCUAUUUUAAAGAGAAACGUCUUCAAAAAAAGUCGUAAAGAACGGAUAUGUUACAACAGUGUGGUUUUUUUGUUGACUUAUGUCACAGCUUUGAUUUGUACAGCUGCUCAGUGUAUUUAUUCUUGCACGGAGAUAAACAUUAUGUUAGUUAUAAUAACCAGAAAAUUAAUAUCACAUGUCCUUUCACAACAGAAUCAACAAAGCAGUUUCUUACCCAACUUUUGGUGCGUGAUAUAAACGGAAAUCUUGAGCUUGUUUCCAGAGGUGGGGAGACCUCUUGUCCUACUGCACGCAGUGUCAGAGUCUGGAUGUUAAGAUGAUGUCUCUUUGAUGGAGAAAAGCAGAGUAUUUUCACUUGCAGCAAAGCUUACCUCCCAGGACUGGAAGAAGAAAAAGAGGCAAUCAUUGCAGGACAGCACCUGAAAGUAUGCAGAGCCAGGGAUCCACAGACGUUACGUUCUAUCCAGGGGAACAGCAGAAUCGCAACAGAAUGAGUGAAACUGUCUAAGCCGAAUCUAUAGAGAUGAGGAAUCCUGCACUAAAGCUUAAAAAAAAUAAUAAAAUUAUAAAGCUUCCGCAAAGACUGUUUUCAGAGCACCAAGG
Molecule: long non-coding RNA, 1413 nt
Filed under: Equus asinus (donkey)
Lineage: Eukaryota; Metazoa; Chordata; Mammalia; Perissodactyla; Equidae
Description: lncRNA (ENSEASG00005033492.1)
Source: RNAcentral